This is a long non-coding RNA of Eucalyptus grandis, 811 nucleotides long. RefSeq lists it as uncharacterized. The record is from RefSeq and is a predicted model, not a curated record. The transcript is spliced from 2 exons. NCBI's taxonomy places the organism in Eukaryota, Viridiplantae, Streptophyta, Magnoliopsida, Myrtales, Myrtaceae.
CAGAAACCCCCGGUGAUCCUAUUGUCCUUGAUCAUGCCAAUUUACGUGCAACCCAGUUGCAUGAGGAUGUUAACAGCUUGGAAGAGUUGUCUAAUAGCGGACUGCUGCAACGUCUUCCUGCUGAAGCGGACUCACAGAUGGCUGACUAUGUUCGGCUUUUUCCACCUCCUUAACUUUGGAAUCGUGGAAUAUCAGAUGUGCUAAUCAAAGCAUUUUUAUUCAGACGGCAAGGCCUAUAUUCUGCCGUCUAGCAGACUUGAGAGAGAUACCAUGGCGUAAGCAUGGGAGAGCUUUAUGGCAUUAUCAUUGUGCUUCGGAAUCACAGAUACUUGGCUUGAGCAGAAGCACUUGGGACCCGAUGCCCCUUCCCCGAUCCGGCUCAUGGACAGCGGAGGAGUUUGCUCAUCCCUUUCCACGGCGCAAGCAUCUACGUCAACUUUUAUCUCUUUGCACUCGGCUCGAUUCGGCAUCCAGGCCCUGCUCGAAGCUAAGUGCUAAAGUUGUUGAAAGGCAUCGAUUGAAUUGUGUCUCAAUCCGUGCGAGGCUGGUGGCUUCGGCAUCUGCCACAGCUCCGCUGAAUAAUAAUUGCUUUUGAUUGAUGCUCUGCACAGCCCAUCUGUGGUACGCUGGAAAUGUUAUCAUGGACGGAUUCUUAUCCUUUUUUAGUAGCUUGUUUUCGAAGUUCCAGGCUUCCAGCUAGGGAGGUAGCUUUACUUUUCCGUACUCGAUAGGGGAGCCUUUCCAUGGAGAAUUACAGCACAUGACAGUGACAAGUGACAGGAAAUAAAUCAAAAGAUGGGUGAUUUUGAUA